This 867-nucleotide long non-coding RNA is filed under the name Anas platyrhynchos platyrhynchos (common mallard). Its description in RNAcentral is "lncRNA (ENSAPLG00000022609.1)". Lineage: Eukaryota; Metazoa; Chordata; Aves; Anseriformes; Anatidae. The record is from RNAcentral.
UUUUCCAUGAGCAUUUAAGAAAAAAUAAAAAAGUAUUUCUUUUAUUAUUUUAAUCAAUUUAAUAUCAGUGAAUGGCAGCUCACUGCCUUGUUUCAAUCUUAUUGCAAUUUUAGUGGGUUUUGGGGGUGAAAUUUAAAAUAUUCACCCAGAUUUUCCUUUAGUACCCCUAACACACAGUCUCAGGAAUGAUUGACCACUGGGACUCAGCUACUUGGCCUUACAGGGAUCAGAACUAAUUGAAGUAACCUGUGACUAAUCCAUAUUAUGGAAGAAGGCAAGCAGGCACCAGAGAAAGUAGGUGGGAAGCUGAUGGGUAGUACCCAAAGGCCUGUUUCGUCUUUUUUGAACUCAGCAAAGGUUUAGAAACAAAAUCAGAGACAAGCUUCCCAAUCUAUUCUCCAAACAAGUCUCCUGGAGGUUGUGAGCUGAUAAGGAGAUAUCCAACUUUUUCCUAAGGAAGAAUAAGCCUUCAUUACCUGAAAACAUCAUGUAAUGAAGAUGAACUGUUUGAUGUUAAUGCAAGAAAGAAAACAGAGUGAUAUGAGAGUAAAUGAAAGCUUUGGGGGAAAAAAAGUUGCAAUAGCAAAAGACCUGAUUUUUCAGCAUGCUUCGGUGCCCAAAGAUGCCAAUAAAGAUCUAGGAAGAUACCCAAAAGCAAGAAUGUUAGUCAAGUACAGUACUUCCACGUCUUUCCUUCAUUCAAGUCAUACAGAAAGAUGGAGGUGUUUCUGAAAUAUCACUUUAGGUAUGUCUGCACCUCAUUAGACAGUUGCUUUUAAAAAUCUGGUAAAAGCUCAAUACAGUGAGCUUCAUGCCUUUCAAAGGUAAGGAAAUAAAGAAUGAAGGGAAUCUUAUGAAACUGGUGGU